UCGGUUGCAAUUCUGCAAAGGAUUCUGUCAUGCAUUUGCGCACCGUCACAUUAGGGCAAAAUAUUUCCCACUUCCUCUAAUUGCACCAGCCACUCUCCCGCGGAGGUAAACACAUCAUUGCGUAGCACUCUCCCACCGACGCAGACACAUCUAUCGCCAGCCACCCCCUCAACGUUGACAUCGAGUUCGAUCAUUUCUAAGGUUUUUGUACCAGCGACCGGGACUUGGGAGGCUUAAUUGUGCUUGGGAAAAAGCCUAUGCAGUUUCAUUAACCUUGCUGAAUCGAUUAGGUUUAGUUCAAUCUCACUUUGCAACUGCAAUUUCAGUUGAUUCUAUGGAUCAAAUACUAGCUUGUUGGUUCCUUCUGCUACCAAAAUUUCAAAAUGUGUUGCUCGAUUGGGAAACUCGAUGGGUCAAAUCUGACUGGAAGAGAGAUGAGAACAUGGCUGGUGAAUGGAAUCACACUUAUGGAAAAUGGAAUCGAAACUAAUCACAAAGUAUCCAGACAAGCGAAGAUUAUAGAUUCCAUGCCAUUUCUGUUGAGUUCCCUAAAUGGAAUAUAUUCCUAAUCCCAAGACAAGAAGCCAGAGGUGAUCAAUUGUUCCAUACAUAAUUGAAAGAGCACAUAUCCUACGUAAUGACUGCUAAAUGAGACAUCAAGUUGGAGGUGUGAGUGUUUGAUGGUAAAGGCGUAGUGAUUCUAUUUAGCAUGCUUGUUUAAGAGAUAUGGUCUUUGCAGGACAGACAUUAGCAAAUUAUCAGAGUGAUGUUUACAAGGCACUGGGGAUAGCAGAAGAGCAAUGUGAGCUUUAAAUGGGCAUGUCCGAAGACUUUGAGCUUGUUAUUGAGAUGGGCAGAACAUAACCGAGUUCCAUGAUGUUUUGUGAUUAUUAUGCAUAAGAUUCGUCCUAAGUCAUAGCCUUCAAAGAGCAAUAGGUACUUCAAAUACCAACUUUAUUGGGUGUUUAAUUUAAAUGGAUCCCUGAUGAAACAGUAUAAAAAAUGCAGUACUUGUGAAACCAAACUUAAUGCUUUUGUGCAAAAGGCAUGUAUCACAUAGCUUAUUAUUAUCAUUUUUCUUUUCUCAUUAAUGCAAUUGCUUCGUUAUGUUGUAAUUUAGUUGUUGUUGGGAUAUGUCAUCAGUUUUGCAUGAAAUUUUAACAUGGGAUGUUCUUUGUUUUCAA
Molecule: long non-coding RNA, 1184 nt
Organism: Andrographis paniculata
Lineage: Eukaryota; Viridiplantae; Streptophyta; Magnoliopsida; Lamiales; Acanthaceae
Exons: 7
Source: RefSeq, a predicted model, not a curated record